This 371-nucleotide ribosomal RNA is filed under the name uncultured bacterium. RNAcentral's name for it is "bacterial SSU rRNA". It matches the Rfam family "Bacterial small subunit ribosomal RNA", at positions 527 to 898 of the family's 1533-position model. The record is from RNAcentral.
GUAGGACGCAAGCGUUAUCCGGAGUUACUGGGCGUAAAGCGCGGGCAGGCGGUCUGACAAGUCUGAUGUGAAAUCACCCGGCUUAACCGGGCGAGGCCAUUGGAAACUGACAGGCUGGAGGGCAGUAGAGGCAGGCGGAAUUCCGGGUGGAGUGGUGAAAUGCGUAGAGAUCCGGAGGAACACCAGAGGCGAAGGCGGCCUGCUGGGCUGCACCUGACGCUGAGCCGCGAAAGCCAGGGGAGCGAACGGGAUUAGAAACCCCGGUAGUCCUGGCCGUAAACGAUGUGUGCUGGAUGGCGGGGGGUUACACCCGCGCUGUCGAAGCCAACGCGAUAAGCACACCGCCUGGGGAGUACGGUCGCAAGGCUAAA